This 597-nucleotide ribosomal RNA is filed under the name Morchella vulgaris. RNAcentral describes it as "LSU rRNA". It matches the Rfam family "Eukaryotic large subunit ribosomal RNA", at positions 292 to 923 of the family's 3401-position model. The record is from RNAcentral. Lineage: Eukaryota; Fungi; Ascomycota; Pezizomycetes; Pezizales; Morchellaceae.
AUGGGUGGUAAAUUUCCAUCUAAAGCUAAAUUUUGGUGGGAGACCGAUAGCGCACAAGUAGAGUGAUCGAAAGAUGAAACAGCACUUUGAAAAUAGAGUUAACAAGUGCGUGAAAUUGUUGAAAGGGAAGCGCUUGAGACCAGACUUCAGUAGGGAGUGAUCAGCCGUCCUUCUGGGCGGUGCACUUGCUCCCCUCCGGGCCAGCAUCGGUUGGGGCGGCGGGAUAAAGGUCCCGGGAAUGUGGCUCCUCUCGGGGAGUGUUAUAGCCCGGGUGAAUGCCGCCAGCCUCGACCGAGGACCGCGCCUUCGGGCCAGGAUGCUUGGCAUAAUGGUCUUCAGCGACCCGUCUUGAAACACGGACCAAGGAGUCUAACAUCUAUGCGAGUGUUUGGGUGUCAAACCCUUGCGCGAAAUGAAAGUGAACGGAGGUGGGARCCCCCAAGGGCGCACCAUCGACCGGUCCUGAAGUCUUCUGAAGGAUCUGAGUAGGAGCAUAGCUGUUGGGACCCGAAAGAUGGUGACCUACGCCUGAAUAGUGAACUCUGGUGGAAGCUCGCAGCAUACGUGCAAAUCGAUCGUCACUAUUCGGUAUAUGAG